UUGGAAACGACUGCUAAUACCGCAUAAUGUCUACGGACCAAAGGGGGCUUCGGCUCUCGCCUUUAGAUUGGCCCAAGUGGGAUUAGCUAGUUGGUGAGGUAAUGGCUCACCAAGGCGACGAUCCCUAGCUGGUUUGAGAGGAUGAUCAGCCACACUGGGACUGAGACACGGCCCAGACUCCUACGGGAGGCAGCAGUGGGGAAUAUUGCACAAUGGGCGCAAGCCUGAUGCAGCCAUGCCGCGUGUGUGAAGAAGGCCUUCGGGUUGUAAAGCACUUUCAGUCAGGAGGAAAGGUUAGUAGUUAAUACCUGCUAGCUGUGACGUUACUGACAGAAGAAGCACCGGCUAACUCCGUGCCAGCAGCCGCGGUAAUACGGAGGGUGCGAGCGUUAAUCGGAAUUACUGGGCGUAAAGCGUACGCAGGCGGUUUUGUUAAGCGAGAUGUGAAAGCCCCGGGCUCAACCUGGGGAACUGCAUUUCGAACUGGCAAACUAGAGUGUGAUAGAG
This 507-nucleotide ribosomal RNA is filed under the name Pseudoalteromonas nigrifaciens. RNAcentral describes it as "bacterial SSU rRNA". It matches the Rfam family "Bacterial small subunit ribosomal RNA", at positions 150 to 656 of the family's 1533-position model. The record is from RNAcentral. Lineage: Bacteria; Pseudomonadati; Pseudomonadota; Gammaproteobacteria; Alteromonadales; Pseudoalteromonadaceae.